GCAGUCGAACGGUGAAGCCCAGCUUGCUGGGUGGAUCAGUGGCGAACGGGUGAGUAACACGUGAGCAACCUGCCCCUGACUCUGGGAUAAGCGCUGGAAACGGCGUCUAAUACUGGAUAUGUGACGUGACCGCAUGGUCUGCGUUUGGAAAGAUUUUUCGGUUGGGGAUGGGCUCGCGGCCUAUCAGCUUGUUGGUGAGGUAAUGGCUCACCAAGGCGUCGACGGGUAGCCGGCCUGAGAGGGUGACCGGCCACACUGGGACUGAGACACGGCCCAGACUCCUACGGGAGGCAGCAGUGGGGAAUAUUGCACAAUGGGCGCAAGCCUGAUGCAGCAACGCCGCGUGAGGGAUGACGGCCUUCGGGUUGUAAACCUCUUUUAGCAGGGAAGAAGCGAAAGUGACGGUACCUGCAGAAAAAGCGCCGGCUAACUACGUGCCAGCAGCCGCGGUAAUACGUAGGGCGCAAGCGUUAUCCGGAAUUAUUGGGCGUAAAGAGCUCGUAGGCGGUUUGUCGCGUCUGCUGUGAAAUCCCGAGGCUCAACCUCGGGCCUGCAGUGGGUACGGGCAGACUAGAGUGCGGUAGGGGAGAUUGGAAUUCCUGGUGUAGCGGUGGAAUGCGCAGAUAUCAGGAGGAACACCGAUGGCGAAGGCAGAUCUCUGGGCCGUAACUGACGCUGAGGAGCGAAAGGGUGGGGAGCAAACAGGCUUAGAUACCCUGGUAGUCCACCCCGUAAACGUUGGGAACUAGUUGUGGGGUCCAUUCCACGGAUUCCGUGACGCAGCUAACGCAUUAAGUUCCCCGCCUGGGGAGUACGGCCGCAAGGCUAAAACUCAAAGGAAUUGACGGGGACCCGCACAAGCGGCGGAGCAUGCGGAUUAAUUCGAUGCAACGCGAAGAACCUUACCAAGGCUUGACAUAUACGAGAACGGGCCAGAAAUGGUCAACUCUUUGGACACUCGUAAACAGGUGGUGCAUGGUUGUCGUCAGCUCGUGUCGUGAGAUGUUGGGUUAAGUCCCGCAACGAGCGCAACCCUCGUUCUAUGUUGCCAGCACGUAAUGGUGGGAACUCAUGGGAUACUGCCGGGGUCAACUCGGAGGAAGGUGGGGAUGACGUCAAAUCAUCAUGCCCCUUAUGUCUUGGGCUUCACGCAUGCUACAAUGGCCGGUACAAAGGGCUGCAAUACCGUGAGGUGGAGCGAAUCCCAAAAAGCCGGUCCCAGUUCGGAUUGAGGUCUGCAACUCGACCUCAUGAAGUCGGAGUCGCUAGUAAUCGCAGAUCAGCAACGCUGCGGUGAAUACGUUCCCGGGUCUUGUACACACCGCCCGUCAAGUCAUGAAAGUCGGUAACACCUGAAGCCGGUGGCCUAACCUUUUGGAGGGAGCC
Molecule: ribosomal RNA, 1386 nt
Filed under: Microbacterium paraoxydans
Lineage: Bacteria; Bacillati; Actinomycetota; Actinomycetes; Micrococcales; Microbacteriaceae
Description: bacterial SSU rRNA
Rfam family: Bacterial small subunit ribosomal RNA
Source: RNAcentral